This 30-nucleotide non-coding RNA is filed under the name Mus musculus (house mouse). The record is from RNAcentral. Lineage: Eukaryota; Metazoa; Chordata; Mammalia; Rodentia; Muridae.
AGCCAGGCUGGCCUUGAACUUACCAAGACA